GCAUAUCAAUAAGCGGAGGAAAAGAAACCAACAGGGAUUACCUCAGUAACGGCGAGUGAAGCGGUAACAGCUCAAAUUUGAAAUCUGGGUCUUUCAGGCUCCGAGUUGUAAUUUGUAGAAGAUGCUUCGGGUGCGGCUCCGGUCUAAGUUCCUUGGAACAGGACGUCAUAGAGGGUGAGAAUCCCGUAUGUGAUCGGCCGCUUGCGCCCAUGUGAAGCUCUUUCGACGAGUCGAGUUGUUUGGGAAUGCAGCUCCAAAUGGGUGGUAUAUUUCAUCUAAAGCUAAAUAUUGGCCAGAGACCGAUAGCGCACAAGUAGAGUGAUCGAAAGAUGAAAAGCACUUUGGAAAGAGAGUUAAACAGUACGUGAAAUUGUUGAAAGGGAAGCGCUUGCAACCAGACUUGCGUGUUGUUGAUCAUCCGGGGUUCUCCCCGGUGCACUCGACCUCACUCAGGCCAGCAUCGGUUUCGGUGGUUGGAUAAAGGCCUUGGGAAUGUAGCUCCUCUCGGGGAGUGUUAUAGCCCUCGGUGCAAUGCAGCCUACCGGGACCGAGGACCGCGCUUCGGCUAGGAUGCUGGCGUAAUGGUUGUAAGCGACCCGUCUUGAAACACGGACCAAGGAGUCUAACAUCUAUGCGAGUGUUUGGGUGUCAAACCCAUACGCGUAAUGAAAGUGAACGGAGGUGAGAACCCUUAAGGGUGCAUCAUCGACCGAUCCUGAUGUCUUCGGAUGGAUUUGAGUAAGAGCAUAGCUGUUGGGACCCGAAAGAUGGUGAACUAUGCCUGAAUAGGGUGAAGCCAGAGGAAACUCUGGUGGAGGCUCGCAGCGGUUCUGACGUGCAAAUCGAUCGUCAAAUUUGGGUAUAGGGGCGAAAGACUAAUCGAACCAUCUAGUAGCUGGUUCCUGCGA
Molecule: ribosomal RNA, 908 nt
Filed under: Phlyctema vagabunda
Lineage: Eukaryota; Fungi; Ascomycota; Leotiomycetes; Helotiales; Dermateaceae
Description: LSU rRNA
Rfam family: Eukaryotic large subunit ribosomal RNA
Source: RNAcentral